GGUAAGUAGACGCUGACUGAGAACAUACGUCAACAGAGAGGAAAAGAAAUGGAAAUGAGAAAAGCUGAAGGACAGGAGUAUGAUGCUGAGCCCAUCUAUCAAAACACCAGCGGCAGCAACAAGUUGGCAAAAUAACCAUUGGAGGUUAUGACCGGGGUACCUACCUUCGAUAAAUGUCGAAACUAUACAGUAAUUUCAGAAUAUUGUACAUAGUUGGUAUUAA
This is a long non-coding RNA of Haliotis rufescens (red abalone), 223 nucleotides long. RefSeq lists it as uncharacterized. The record is from RefSeq and is a predicted model, not a curated record. The transcript is spliced from 3 exons. Lineage: Eukaryota; Metazoa; Mollusca; Gastropoda; Lepetellida; Haliotidae.